This 2702-nucleotide small RNA is filed under the name Oryza sativa Japonica Group (Japanese rice). Its description in RNAcentral is "sRNA Os01g0177150". Lineage: Eukaryota; Viridiplantae; Streptophyta; Magnoliopsida; Poales; Poaceae. The record is from RNAcentral.
GGUAUGGAAAACAUCUAGGAUGUUUUCUUUUACGUAAUUUUAGGAUGUUUUCAACAGAUUGACAUUCAUCAUGCACAUUUUCUAUAAAGAGAAAAGUCUACAAGUAUACGUUGGAGUGCUUUGUCAAGGAAAUGUUAGGAUUGUUCACAAUAAAGCAGCACUUCCAGAUUGACAGAAUGCUGAAUAAGAAAAACUGAGUAACCUUAAAUAUCCGGACGAUGUUUCCAUUGUUGAUACUCCAGAAUCGAAUUUCAUUAUCCCCAUCACAAGAACAAAUGAGGUCAUCCUUGUUUGGGUGGAAAUCCAGUGACAUAACAGAUGCUGAGUGCCCAGUGAACGUUCGAAUUGAAUAGCCUUGCUGCAAAAGUACAAUGACAGCAUUAGAAUAUGAUGAGCAGUAAAACACAACAGUACUUUGCUGCCCUUGCAGCUUUAACAUUACAAGUACUGACAUUACCCAGGAAUCUGAAAGUUCAGAAGUAUCAUGCUUAUAUCCCCUAGAGAACAAACAAGUUCCACUUCUACAAAAUGAAUCCAUGCCAUGCCUAUGAAUCUCAAAAUUGAUGUUGUAGAUCAUUCACGACAUAUGACCUUGAGAUGGACAUUGCUUACUGUAUUCUUUGAGAAUUUAUAGCCUACUUAACUUUAUGAUGUUGUUUCUACAUAAAGGGCAGUUCAAAAGGUAAAAAAAUCUGGCUAAAUAUACAAAUGGCAAUUUGAUAUGGUUUCAGUGCUAGUUGGCAGGUUUUUGCAACAUAACACAGAGGCAAUCACCGAGGCAAAUAGAUGGUAGGAAAAAAGAACUAAACAGUUAUGUACUUACAUUGUCAGCAUCCCAGACCCUGACAGUUUUAUCAAAUGAGGAGGUAGCAAGGCGUGGAAUGCUUGGACUGAAUCGUACAUCAGUUAUCAAAAGAGAAUGUUCCUCCAAUACUGACUUCUGUUUUAAAGUUUCAGCAUGCCACAAUACCACCUGCAUUGAAACAUUGCAAGUAUCUAUUUCAAUAUCACCAUGAAGUCAAAGAUAUGCCUGCCCACUUCCAAGAGUAUCAACUAGGCUGAGCAUCUUAACAAGCCCAGGCAUGUGCACUUACCUUCUUAUCAUGACCCCCAGUAGCAAGUAGCUUUCCAUCUGAUGAGAAGUGGCAGCAUACAACCUUGUUCGUGCUUGCUUGUACAGAAGAGACCUCUCGGAAGAUGAAUCCUGCUUAAGACAUAUAAACAGAAUCAAAGCUCUACAGAACACAAAUUCAUGUUAGACUUCCCUACAAAAUACAUCAUAAAUCUAACCCACUGAACCAAUAUAUGUUACCACAUGACAUAUUAGAUAAUUUCCCCUCUCACAGGACCAUAGCCUGAACCGCACCAACUGCUCAAUUUCCAAGCUAAAUUCACCUAAGUGAGUUCAGCUUGUUGGUACUAUUUACACCAGCCAUAAUUACAUUCAAGACUAAACUGGCCAGGGUAACCACUGCCAAUGAUGUUAAUAUGUCAAAGCCAACCAUUCAACUUCAACUAGCCAUAAGUUACAAAACAGUUAGCCUUAUCACACCUUUAGUAGAUUCCAUACGACUGCCAUCUCUUCGAUCUGCAUCAUCAUGCGACAGGAACGAAUCCACAUGAUCUUCCAAGCAGCCAUCCUCCACAAAACGAUCCAUGUCAGCCUGCAGUGUGAGUUAUCAGAUGUUCAGAAGUCAGGCAUCAAACAGACCAUCAGUGCAAUGAAACAUUUCCAAACUAUGUUGCAUGCAUAAUAUAUCCACGUAAUAGGGCCAUAGCUGUUUGGAUUUAGAACCAGUUGUAACUUACAAGUUGAUUUGAUGGUGAUCCCAUUGUCCCUGCUGUACUGGUACCGUAAACAACUAAAGCCUUUGAUAAGCUAGCAUUGUGGUGCAGCGAGGGCAUUGAAAUUGUGUCUCCUGGGCUUUGCGAUGAAGGAGUUGAGGGUUCUGAGGAGGGGACCGCGGUGUUUCCAGUGCCAGAACUAUUGGCUGGACCAGACGAUGAGAUUGGCUGUUUGCGUUUUCGCCCAUUUUGAUUCUUGGAAACCUGCAAAACAAUAUAUUUAUGAUGGAUACAAGUCUUAACAAAAGGAUAGGCACAGUAACAAAUCAAGGUGGUAAUGUUGAAUAUAUGUAGAAGGAAGUGAAACCUGUUCACUUCCACGGAAUGAAUUAGACAGGCUUCCAUCAAUAGUAACACUUCCAGCUCCCAUUUUUUCCUGCUGGCCUGGAAGGUGAUUAGAGAUUGGUGGUUGCUGGCUAAGUAAAGAAUGCUGAAGGAGCUGUUGCUGAUUGCUGCUUUGCUGGUGCUGCUGUAUAGCUGCUAUCUUCUACUACAUAUAAUGACGAGGUGUUAAGGUCGAAAACCAAAGAUGUAGAAGUUAUCUUGAAAAAGGUAGCUUCAGAAAACAUGUGAGCAUGUAUUAAUAGCAGCUAGAUCAUUAUGAAAUCCAAAUAGUAUGAGUUCCUCUGUUCAAAAGAUUAUAUUACACAAGGACCAAGACCGAUAUUUUCAUGAUUUAAUCACUAUGCUAUAGUAGAAAGUAAAUGGUACUGUGUUAUGCAAACUUGGCAACAUAACAUAACAAGAACAAGCAUGAUAAAUUUAAAUGAAAUUCUAUUACUGAUCACUGACAAGAAUUAAACAAUAUAAUCUAUGUACAUAUAAGAUAUCAAUUGAGAACAAAAUUAUGCAUAACC